CCAUCUACUCCUCAUCUCAAACCCUGCUCCACGAUAACUGACUACUCUCAGUGGUAAAUCAGUCGGCUGCUCCUGAGCAGCCCCCUGAGAUCUCGUGGAAGCACCUUGCCUGCGUUUGGUGCCUGACGAGGAACCUUCACCUGGCAUCCUGGAAACGCAUACCUGAGAUUCGCUUGAAAUAAGAAAAACGAGAAGAAAAUUCGGUUGAACCUUGAUCCCCACAGCUGAAUUCGAUGUUUAUGAGGAAAAAAAUGGUAGAAUGAUGGAUGGAAUCGGGUGUUUGAGGGUGAUGUUAGUGGAUAAAGGUGGGAAUAGGUGAUAAGGAGGGUGAUCGGUGGGUGAAAAGGGUGGGUAUCAGUGGGGAUGUUUGAGGAACUAAUUUAGUUAAUUUAUUGCAAAAAAAAUAGUCACGAACUAAUUUAUUUAUUUUUUUGUUUGAGGAACUAUCCACUCGGUUGGACGGUGGAGGGGAAGUAGGUGAGAGGAAGGGUUGUCGGCGAGAUAGGGUGGAACAAUGGGAGAAGGUUUGUGAAGGAUUGGUGAUGUGAUUUUAAGUGGUCAUGGAGGUUGGAGG
This 574-nucleotide long non-coding RNA is filed under the name Helianthus annuus (common sunflower). RNAcentral describes it as "sRNA HanXRQr2_Chr04g0146321". The record is from RNAcentral. Lineage: Eukaryota; Viridiplantae; Streptophyta; Magnoliopsida; Asterales; Asteraceae.